UAGAGCAUAUUGAACCAUAUUUUUGCUAUUACCAAUCAAAAUCCUAAAAUACGGAUUUUCGACCCACUCCAGUGGGAAAAGUAUGUGAAUAAAUUUAAUAA
Rhagoletis zephyria (snowberry fruit fly) is the source of this 101-nucleotide long non-coding RNA. RefSeq lists it as uncharacterized. NCBI's taxonomy places the organism in Eukaryota, Metazoa, Arthropoda, Insecta, Diptera, Tephritidae. The record is from RefSeq and is a predicted model, not a curated record.